RNAcentral lists this ribosomal RNA (254 nucleotides) under uncultured bacterium. RNAcentral's name for it is "partial 16S ribosomal RNA". It matches the Rfam family "Bacterial small subunit ribosomal RNA", at positions 524 to 776 of the family's 1533-position model. The record is from RNAcentral.
UACAGAGGUCUCAAGCGUUGUUCGGAUUCAUUGGGCGUAAAGGGUGCGUAGGCGGCGCGGUAAGUCGGGUGUGAAAUCUCGGAGCUUAACUCCGAAACUGCAUUCGAUACUGCGGUGCUUGAGGACUGGAGAGGAGACUGGAAUUCAUGGUGUAGCAGUGAAAUGCGUAGAGAUCAUGAGGAAGACCAGUGGCGAAGGCGGGUCUCUGGACCGAUAUUGACGCUGAGGAGCGAAAAGCGUGGGGAGCGAACAGG